UACGUAGGGUGCGAGCGUUAAUCGGAAUUACUGGGUGUAAAGCGUGCGCAGGCGGUUCGUUGUGUCGGCGGUGAAAGCCCCGGGCUUAACCUGGGAAUGGCCGUUGAAACUGGCGAACUGGAGUGUGGCAGAGGGGGGUGGAAUUCCGCGUGUAGCAGUGAAAUGCGUAGAGAUGCGGAGGAACACCGAUGGCGAAGGCAGCCCCCUGGGCUGACACUGACGCUCAGGCACGAAAGCUUGGGGAGCAAACAGG
Molecule: ribosomal RNA, 253 nt
Filed under: uncultured bacterium
Lineage: Bacteria
Description: partial 16S ribosomal RNA
Rfam family: Bacterial small subunit ribosomal RNA
Source: RNAcentral